Molecule: ribosomal RNA, 740 nt
Filed under: uncultured Bacillota bacterium
Lineage: Bacteria; Bacillati; Bacillota
Description: bacterial SSU rRNA
Rfam family: Bacterial small subunit ribosomal RNA
Source: RNAcentral
GCAGUCGAGCGGAGUUAUAUUGGAAGCUUGCUUUCAUCUAACUUAGCGGCGGACGGGUGAGUAACACGUAGGUAACCUGCCUGUAAGACUGGGAUAACUACCGGAAACGGUAGCUAAUACCGGAUAAUCUGUUUCCUCUCCUGAGGAGACAGUGAAAGGCGGAGCAAUCUGCCACUUAUAGAUGGGCCUGCGGCGCAUUAGCUAGUUGGUGAGGUAACGGCUCACCAAGGCGACGAUGCGUAGCCGACCUGAGAGGGUGAACGGCCACACUGGGACUGAGACACGGCCCAGACUCCUACGGGAGGCAGCAGUAGGGAAUCUUCCGCAAUGGACGAAAGUCUGACGGAGCAACGCCGCGUGAGUGAUGAAGGUUUUCGGAUCGUAAAGCUCUGUUGCCAGGGAAGAACGCUUGGGAGAGUAACUGCUCUCAAGGUGACGGUACCUGAGAAGAAAGCCCCGGCUAACUACGUGCCAGCAGCCGCGGUAAUACGUAGGGGGCAAGCGUUGUCCGGAAUUAUUGGGCGUAAAGCGCGCGCAGGCGGUCAUUUAAGUCUGGUGUUUAAUCCCGGGGCUCAACCCCGGGUCGCACUGGAAACUGGGUGACUUGAGUACAGAAGAGGAGAGUGGAAUUCCACGUGUAGCGGUGAAAUGCGUAGAUAUGUGGAGGAACACCAGUGGCGAAGGCGACUCUCUGGGCUGUAACUGACGCUGAGGCGCGAAAGCGUGGGGAGCAAACAGGA